UACGAAGGGGGCGAGCGUUGUUCGGAUUUACUGGGCGUAAAGGGCGCGCAGGCGGCUGUUCAAGUCAGGCGUGAAAGCCCCGGGCUUAACCUGGGAACUGCGUCUGGGACUGGAUGGCUAGAGAUCGGGAGAGGAGAGUGGAAUUCCCGGUGUAGCGGUGAAAUGCGUAGAUAUCAGGAAGAACACCCGUGGCUAAGGCGGCUCUCUAGUACGG
Molecule: ribosomal RNA, 214 nt
Filed under: uncultured prokaryote
Description: partial 16S ribosomal RNA
Rfam family: Bacterial small subunit ribosomal RNA
Source: RNAcentral